RNAcentral lists this transfer RNA (436 nucleotides) under Mesembryanthemum baylissii. RNAcentral's name for it is "partial transfer RNA-Leu". The record is from RNAcentral. Lineage: Eukaryota; Viridiplantae; Streptophyta; Magnoliopsida; Caryophyllales; Aizoaceae.
GAGGAAAAUCCGUCGACUUUUAAAAUCGUGAGGGUUCAAGUCCCUCUAUCCCCAAAAGUUUAUUUCACACCCUAACUAGUUAUCUUUUUUUUCAUUAAUGGUUUGAUGGAUCGGGACGGAAAUGCUUUUCUCCUAUUACAAGUCUUGUGAUAUAUCUCAUAUACGUACAAAUGAAUAUCUUUGAGCAAGGAGUACUCAUUUGAGUGAUUCACAAUCCAUAUCAUUACUCGUACUAAAACUGAUAGACAAAGUCCCUCUUUUUGAAGACCCAAGAAAUUCUAGUACCUAGAUAAGACUUUGUAAGAUAUAAGACUUUUCGUCCUUUUUUAAUUGACAUAAACCCAAGUUAUCUAGUAAAAUGAGGAGAUUGACAUAAACCCAAGUUUUCUAGUAAAAUGAGGAGAUGAUGCACCAGAAAGGGGAAUCGUCGGGAUAG